RNAcentral lists this long non-coding RNA (499 nucleotides) under Homo sapiens (human). RNAcentral describes it as "HSALNT0178579". Lineage: Eukaryota; Metazoa; Chordata; Mammalia; Primates; Hominidae. The record is from RNAcentral.
AGGCAGGAGGCCCAGGCCCUUAGUCCUCGAUGCCCAGCAGGCUCCAUUGAUCUUGGGCAGGUCUCUUCUCUACCCAGGCCUCAGCCUCCACAUCUUUCAAGUAGGGAUGAUAAUCCUGUUUUCUGGUUGCGGUGAGGACACAAGGAAAUCAGGGGCUUAGAGGUACUUUAUAACAUGAUGUCUCUCUACAUUACUUUGUGUAUUUAAAAAAAAAUCUUAAUACAGCCAGGCGUGGUGGCUCAUGCCUGUCAUCCCAGGACGUUGGGAGGCUGAGGUAGGAGGAUUGCUUGAGCCCAGGAGUUCGAAACCAGCUUGACCAAUACACGGUUAGUGAGCCAUUAGUGAUCAGUGAGUUGUGAUCUAUCGCACCACUGCACUCCAGCACUCCGGCCUGGGAGACCUACCAAAACCAAGAUGGCAAUGAUAGUGACCUCUGGUGGUCCUCACUGCUCAUUACAUGCUAAUUAUAAUGCAUUAGCAUGGUAAAAAAUACUCUCAC